AUCUCUCAACACAGACAGAUUCUGUCUGUUGUUUGGAUCUUGAAGGCUUGCUGGCAUUGUCAGCUCCUUUUAAAUGAAUUAGCAGAAAUCAUGCAGAACUGGCCUCAGUUUGAUAAAGUCUUAUCUGUUGUUGCUGUCGCCAGGAUAAUGCUAGUUUUUUCAGCUUCUAAUAGUCCUUCUGGGACUGUCUCCUUUGAGGCAUACACUUUGAC
Molecule: unclassified non-coding RNA, 212 nt
Filed under: Clavaria subacuta
Lineage: Eukaryota; Fungi; Basidiomycota; Agaricomycetes; Agaricales; Clavariaceae
Description: internal transcribe spacer 2
Source: RNAcentral